RNAcentral lists this ribosomal RNA (775 nucleotides) under uncultured Neocallimastigales. RNAcentral describes it as "partial large subunit ribosomal RNA". It matches the Rfam family "Eukaryotic large subunit ribosomal RNA", at positions 20 to 625 of the family's 3401-position model. The record is from RNAcentral. Lineage: Eukaryota; Fungi; Neocallimastigomycota; Neocallimastigomycetes; Neocallimastigales.
UACUAGAGUAGCACUCGCAUAUCAAUAAGCGGAGGAAAAGAAACUAACAAGGAUUCCCCUAGUAACGGCGAGUGAAGCGGGAAGAGCUCAAAUUUGAAAUCUUAAAGGGUUUCCCUUUACGAAUUGUAGUUUAAAGAAGUGUUUUCUGUUGAGGUUUUGGUAAAAGUUCUUUGGAAUAGGACAUCAUAGAGGGUGAGAAUCCCGUAUUUGACCUUUACUUUCAACUUUGUGAUACACUUUCAAAGAGUCGGACUGUUUGGGAAUGCAGUCCAAAAUGGGUGGUAAAUUUCAUCUAAAGCUAAAUAUUGGCGAGAGACCGAUAGCGAACAAGUACCGUGAGGGAAAGAUGAAAAGAACUUUGAAAAGAGAGUUAAACAGUACGUGAAAUUGUCAAAAGGGAAGCGUUUGACACCAGUGUUGUUUUUCUGAAAAUCAAUUAAAGAACUGUUUAUGCUAAGUUGUUUAGACUUCAUCAGCUAUACUGCUUAGUUUUGAGCUUUUCUUUAAUGCACUUUUCAGUUAACAAGUCAACAUCAAUUUCUUUUGCUGUAAAAAAGCUUGAGGAAGGUGGCUUGAGAUUCGUCUUAAGUGUUUAUAGCCUCUUGCCUAUGCAGUCGGAGAGAUUGAGGUCUGCAGCGUAGAUCCUUCGGGGCUAAAUGCAUUUGUGCUAAGUUAUAGCAUUUUAUAGACAACUUGUUGACUAUGAUUUGUCUUGUAGCUUACUCGCUUAUGUUAUUUUACCUACGCUUAGGAUGUUGAACUCUAUCACACACAG